Molecule: ribosomal RNA, 375 nt
Filed under: uncultured bacterium
Lineage: Bacteria
Description: partial 16S ribosomal RNA
Rfam family: Bacterial small subunit ribosomal RNA
Source: RNAcentral
CCUACGGGAGGCAACAGUGAGGAAUAUUGGUCAAUGGACGUAACUCUGAACCAGCCAUGCCGCGUGCAGGAAGACGGAUCUAUGUGUUGUAAACUGCUUUUGUACGAGGGAAAACGCAGACUCGCGCUUCUGUCUGAACGUCUUGUACGAACAAGCCUCGGCUAACUCCGUGCCAGCAGCCGCGGUAAUACGGCGGAUUCAAGCGUUAUCCGGAUUUAUUGGGUUUAAAGGGUGCGUAGGCGGUCGGUUAAGUUAGCAGUGAAAUCCCGGGGCUCAACUUCGGGAUUGCCUUUGAAACUGUACGGCGGGAGAGCAGGAGCGGUAGGCGGAAUGUAUAGUGUAGCGGUGAAAUGCGUAGAGAUCAGACAGAACACC